AAUCUUUCCUUUGCCAUUCGGAAUGAUUGAGCUAGGACAUUGUUCUCAUCUAGCAUGCUCUGAAGACCAGCCACAAUAGUAGGGUUAAUCAGUGUUUUUCCAUUGGUACUUCUCGAUGCGUCUAUCCUGUUUUGUACCUCAUUCUCUGUAUCAUAGAUGUAUAGCUGUGCCCAGCGUGGCUUGCUACCUUCUUCUAGCAGCAGAGUUCCAAUAUGAUGAUCGUUUUGGCCAUGCAUGCGGAAUACGUAUGGCCCAUGGCCUUUGUUUAUGUCUUUGUCUACAACCCCUCCUGUGGAUGUGAAUGAGAACAUUGAGUUGUAAGACCGGAUGUUUUCUCUGAAGUUUUUAGAAUCUUCUCCUUCACCAUUCAAAAGAUUGUCGAGAUAAUUCGGUGGAUUUUUGCGUGGAGGCAGUCUGAUUUUUCCUUGCUUGCAGCACAUUCCGAAAGCUGGUUUUUUUAGUUUUGACUUUGGGUCUUAGUCUUUCCUCGUACCAUAGGAGAGCAUCGCAGUGUUCACAUCUGUAUUUUGGCUUUCCGAAGUUCCAUAUAUUACUUUCAGCAUCGCCCCUCUUCUAUGUUUCGCCAGAUGCAUUGCUACUGUUAUCUUGAUUUGCAUCUUCAUUGCAUGUUCUUGAACGCUUUGGUUUUCUCUUUUCUUUAAGUAUUUCUUUUCUCAUCAGUCUUGCCAGUCGAUAUUUCAUCUUGGUCGUUUCCUCUAUAGUGCAUCCUCUUUUUUUUUGCCCCUUUUAAGGUUUAGUUGUUCUUUCCUCCUCUUUCUGUUUUGCGAUGCUUCUUCCUUUCGAUGGUUCUCCAUUAGUUUUUUUGCCUGUUUCAGAUGUAAAAUUAAGGCAACAUGAAAGAGAACAUGUUUCUUGUUAUAGACUUCAAUGUGUAGUAGCAGGCAUUAAAGAAAAUUAAAUUUUGAUGUAUUUUAAAUUUAUAUGUAGUAAUUUUAUUGUUUCGACUAACAUAAUUAUGCAUGAUAUGUAUAUGCACUGCACUAAAGGCAUGAAAGAGAAGAGGUCCGCAUGAUACUUGCCAGAGGAUGCAAUUGAAGAAUGCAGAAAGCUCUGUGGUGGACAUGGUUACUUGAACAGCAGUGGGCUUCCUGAAUUAUUUGCCGUCUAUGUUCCUGCAUGCACUUAUAAAGGAGACAAUGUUGUUCUGCUUUUGCAGGUUGCAAGGAUUCUAAUGAAGACUGUUUCUUAAUUGAUUUCAGAUGUAAAAUUAAGGCAACAUGAAAGAGAACAUGUAAAUAUUUUCUUGUUAUAGGCUUC
This is a long non-coding RNA of Panicum virgatum (switchgrass), 1278 nucleotides long. RefSeq lists it as uncharacterized. The record is from RefSeq and is a predicted model, not a curated record. The transcript has 3 exons. NCBI's taxonomy places the organism in Eukaryota, Viridiplantae, Streptophyta, Magnoliopsida, Poales, Poaceae.